CUAAAUUCUGUGAAUGAGAUAAUCACAAAUUUGCUAACUUUAAAAAAAAAAAGACAAACUCUCUUCUCUAGUACUGAGACAAGACUACUACAAGUUUCAAUAAAGAAAACUUCAUCCACAGCACCCUGGACAUCUUCUUUGCUGGAUCAGAGACAACAACUGACACACUGUGCUGGGCUGUGCUCUACAUAACUUCAAACCCAGAAGUGCAAGAAACAGUACACUCUGAGAUUGACAGAGUGAUUGGCCAUGGGAGACAGCCAAGCACUGAUGACCAAGAGUCCGUGCCCUACACCAAUGCUGUCAUCCAUGAGGUGCCGAGGAUGGGCAACAUCAUCCCCUUGAAUGUUCCCAGGGAAGUCACAGCUGAUAGCACUUUGUCUGGAUACCACCGGCCUAAGGCACUCUCCCCUUCUCAUCUCCAGUCCAUCCUUGGCAUUAUGUGAGGAACACAAACAUGUAGUUCUGCUCCCAAGAAAUCAACCAAAAUGGAAGAGAGAUAUUAUUAAUAAAAGAAUGUGAACACUCUUACAA
Molecule: long non-coding RNA, 534 nt
Organism: Grammomys surdaster
Lineage: Eukaryota; Metazoa; Chordata; Mammalia; Rodentia; Muridae
Exons: 2
Source: RefSeq, a predicted model, not a curated record